UGGGUUGUGGCUCAGCGGUGGACCGCUCGUCUCACACGUGAGAGACCUGGGUUCGAUCCUCAGCACCACAU
Molecule: transfer RNA, 71 nt
Filed under: Marmota monax (woodchuck)
Lineage: Eukaryota; Metazoa; Chordata; Mammalia; Rodentia; Sciuridae
Rfam family: tRNA
About the family: Transfer RNA (tRNA) molecules are approximately 80 nucleotides in length.
Source: Rfam by way of RNAcentral